CCCUUAGAUGUUCUGGGCCGCACGCGCGCUACACUGAUGCAUUCAACGAGUCUAAAACCUGCUCUGAUAGGGGUGGGUAAUCUUUUGAAUGUGCAUCGUGAUUGGGAUAGAUGAUUGAAAUUUUUCAUCUUCAACGAGGAAUGCCUAGUAAACGCAAGUCAUCAGCUUGCAUUGAUUACGUCCCUGCCCUUUGUACACAUCGCCCGUCGCUCCUACCGAUUGAAUGAUCCGAUGAAUAUCAUGGAUUGAGGAUGCAAGUAGGUUCACCUAUCUUCAUCUUCGAGAAGUGAAGUAAAUCUUAUCAUUUAGAGGAAGGAGAAGUCGUAACA
RNAcentral lists this ribosomal RNA (329 nucleotides) under uncultured eukaryote. RNAcentral's name for it is "partial 18S ribosomal RNA". It matches the Rfam family "Eukaryotic small subunit ribosomal RNA", at positions 1470 to 1796 of the family's 1831-position model. The record is from RNAcentral.